AAAACGACUCUCGGCAACGGAUAUCUCGGCUCUCGCAUCGAUGAAGAACGUAGCGAAAUGCGAUACUUGGUGUGAAUUGCAGAAUCCCGUGAACCAUCGAGUCUUUGAACGCAAGUUGCGCCCGAAGCCUUCGGGCCGAGGGCACGUCUGCCUGGGUGUCAUGC
Molecule: ribosomal RNA, 164 nt
Filed under: Passiflora foetida
Lineage: Eukaryota; Viridiplantae; Streptophyta; Magnoliopsida; Malpighiales; Passifloraceae
Description: 5.8S ribosomal RNA
Rfam family: 5.8S ribosomal RNA
About the family: 5.8S ribosomal RNA (5.8S rRNA) is a component of the large subunit of the eukaryotic ribosome. It is transcribed by RNA polymerase I as part of the 45S precursor that also contains 18S and 28S rRNA.
Source: RNAcentral